ACCAGAAGAUUCGCCCUCGCCUCAAAAGCAAAAAAAAAAAAAUUCUCCCAAAACGGAGGCCGUCUCUCUCGUCCUCCCUCUCUAUCCAUCCAUCGCAAACACCCAAAAUCACCUACCCAUGUAAUCGUCGGAUCUUCCACCUCUCCCUCGCCCUCUCCGCCUUCUCUCCCGUCUUCGACUACAGCUCCACCUUCGACGAUGGCCGCCGCUUCGUUCCGGACUUGUCCACUUCAACUCGCUCAAUUUCACUCCGAAACCAAAACCCCAAUCCCAAUUCCCCCCAAAUUUACCAAACCGCUAAGGUUUUCCGGUGGCCGUCCUAGUAUGAGUUCCAGAUCCGCGACCUGAGCACCCACAUGGUACGACUCCAUUUCCAGAGCUUCAAUUCUUGUAAUUUUGAUUGGAAUAGUGCUCAGUUUCAUGUCUUGGUCAAUGGGUUUGUGGUUCUGAAAGUCAGUAACUUUGGAUUUGAAGGUGUAUUAGGUCCAAUGGUUAGGGAGUAUUUGAUUUGGGUCAGUACUGAAAAGCUUGUAAUUCGAUUUGUUCUUGAUAAAAAUUCAAGCUUUGCGUUUGUGAAUGCGAUUGAGGUCGUUCUGCACCUACGGAACUUGUUGCUAAUACUGCAAUGUAUGUGAGUGAUGGGAAAGUUGUGGGUUUCAAUGGGUUGGCUAAGCAAGCUCUUCACGUUGUGCAUAGGGUCAAUGUGGGAGGUCAUAAAGUGACGCCCUUUAAUGAUAUUCUGUGGAGGACUUGGAUUACUGAUUUAAAUAGCUAAAAUGGGUCUGGUUUUGUUUUAAUUGUUUAUCUAUCUGAAAGUGGAUUACUGGGAAUACAAGUGGUGGCUGAAUUGCUUCUAGGGUAGCAUUUGCCUCCGAAAUCGAUGACUAGAUAUAUAUGGAUGCUCUUCAUAUAUAUUUGGACAAGCUUUUCAAUUAGUAUGUUGUUAUAAUCCUCUCCGUGACUUUUGUCCUGUUUUGCAGAGAGGUUAUUCCACAAGCAAUAUGCACUAGAUAUGGACUUGCUGUGGGUUCCAACCAAUAUGUUAUCACUUGGGUGAGACAGUUUGAAUUUAUUUCUUUAUAGCUGUCUACCUUAAUGUUCAUUUUGGUGAAAUCAUUCUUCAGAUACAUUUUGAAGAGAACAGCAUGCAGAAAUGUGAAAUUAUGCUCAAUGAUUUGAUUGGUUCUAAGAGGACCAACACCAAUAUUAAAGCAACCAUAGCUCAGCCAUCUCAUACAGUUGGAAUUGCAAUUUGGAGAUAGAGAAAUGCAGUUCAUGGUUGCUCCUCUUCAUGCAGCAAUUAUAAUGCAAUUUCAAGAUCAGAAAAGCUGGACCUCCAAAGAUCUUGCAGCUGCAGUUGGGGUUCCAAUAGAUACACUUAAUCGGAGGAUCAAUUUUUGGAUAAGCAAGGGAAUUCUUGCAGAAUCACUUGGGGAAGAUACUGAUGACCAUGUGUUUACACUAAUGGAAGGGAUGAUUGGUUCUUACCUCUGUUUUCUAUUCUGCUUCGUCAUUUUUUAUUUGUAGGACUGCAACUUGGUGAGGCACUAGGGCUGUGAGUCCUGUGACAAUGAGUUACAAUCUUGUAGAUAGAGUAGGUGAAAGAAAUGAAUGUAAAGUAGUGUAGGAAAUGGAUUCUUCUUUACUUGCAAGCAAAUUUUAUAUGAUAUGAUGUACAAUGAUUAUAUAAAUGAAGUUUAUUAACUAACAAAAAUAUAGAAUCAUGAAAUAACAAAUAAAUUGUGAA
This is a long non-coding RNA of Rosa rugosa (rugosa rose), 1747 nucleotides long. RefSeq lists it as uncharacterized. The record is from RefSeq and is a predicted model, not a curated record. NCBI's taxonomy places the organism in Eukaryota, Viridiplantae, Streptophyta, Magnoliopsida, Rosales, Rosaceae. The transcript is spliced from 6 exons.